GAUGAACGCUGGCGGCGUGCCUAAUACAUGCAAGUCGAGCGAACGGACGAGAAGCUUGCUUCUCUGAUGUUAGCGGCGGACGGGUGAGUAACACGUGGAUAACCUACCUAUAAGACUGGGAUAACUUCGGGAAACCGGAGCUAAUACCGGAUAAUAUUUUGAACCGCAUGGUUCAAAAGUGAAAGACGGUCUUGCUGUCACUUAUAGAUGGAUCUGCGCUGCAUUAGCUAGUUGGUAAGGUAACGGCUUACCAAGGCAACGAUGCAUAGCCGACCUGAGAGGGUGAUCGGCCACACUGGAACUGAGACACGGUCCAGACUCCUACGGGAGGCAGCAGUAGGGAAUCUUCCGCAAAGGGCGAAAGCCUGACGGAGCAACGCCGCGUGAGUGAUGAAGGUCUUCGGAUCGUAAAACUCUGUUAUUAGGGAAGAACAUAUGUGUAAGUAACUGUGCACAUCUUGACGGUACCUAAUCAGAAAGCCACGGCUAACUACGUG
This 497-nucleotide ribosomal RNA is filed under the name uncultured bacterium. RNAcentral describes it as "partial 16S ribosomal RNA". It matches the Rfam family "Bacterial small subunit ribosomal RNA", at positions 28 to 507 of the family's 1533-position model. The record is from RNAcentral.